AACGAACGCUGGCGGCGCGCCUAAUACAUGCAAGUCGAGCGAGAAGACGUAGCAAUACGUUUGUAAAGCGGCGAACGGGUGAGGAAUACAUGGGUAACCUACCCUCGAGUGGGGAAUAACUAGCCGAAAGGUUAGCUAAUACUGCGUACGCUCCUUGGACUUCGGUCCAGGGAGGAAAGCGAUACCGUGGGUAUCGCGCUCUUGGAUGGGCUCAUGUCCUAUCAGCUUGUUGGUGAGGUAACGGCUCACCAAGGCUUCGACGGGUAGCUGGUCUGAGAGGACGGCCAGCCACACUGGGACUGAGACACGGCCCAGACUCCUACGGGAGGCAGCAGUGGGGGAUCUUGCGCUAAUGCGCGAAAGCGUGACGCAGCGACGCCGCGUGGGGGA
Molecule: ribosomal RNA, 390 nt
Filed under: uncultured bacterium
Lineage: Bacteria
Description: bacterial SSU rRNA
Rfam family: Bacterial small subunit ribosomal RNA
Source: RNAcentral